Molecule: ribosomal RNA, 646 nt
Filed under: uncultured bacterium
Lineage: Bacteria
Description: bacterial SSU rRNA
Rfam family: Bacterial small subunit ribosomal RNA
Source: RNAcentral
GAGUUUGAUCAUGGCUCAGGAUGAACGCUAGCGGCAGGCUUAAUACAUGCAAGUCGUGGGGCAGCGGGGGUAGCAAUACCCGCCGGCGACCGGCAAACGGGUGCGGAACACGUACGCAACCUUCCUUUAACUGGAGAAUAGCCCCUCGAAAGAGGGAUUAAUACUCCGUAACAUAUUGAUAAGGCAUCUUAUUAAUAUUAUAGCUCCGGCGGUUAAAGAUGGGCGUGCGCCUGAUUAGAUAGUUGGCGGGGUAACGGCCCACCAAGUCUGCGAUCAGUAACUGGUGUGAGAGCACGACCAGUCACACGGGCACUGAGACACGGGCCCGACUCCUACGGGAGGCAGCAGUAAGGAAUAUUGGUCAAUGGACGCAAGUCUGAACCAGCCAUGCCGCGUGGAGGAUUAAGGCCCUCUGGGUUGUAAACUCCUUUUAUCCGGGAAGAAAUGCAUUUUUUCUAAAAUGCUUGACGGUACCAGAGGAAUAAGCACCGGCUAACUCCGUGCCAGCAGCCGCGGUAAUACGGAGGGUGCAAGCGUUAUCCGGAUUCACUGGGUUUAAAGGGUGCGUAGGCGGGCAGGUAAGUCCGUGGUGAAAUCUCUGAGCUUAACUCAGAAACUGCCAUGGAUACUAUUUGUCUUGAAUAUU